GAGUUUGAUCGUGGCUCAGAAUGAACGCUGGCGGCAUGCCUAACACAUGCAAGUCGAACGAAGGCUUCGGCCUUAGUGGCGCACGGGUGCGUAACGCGUGGGAAUCUGCCCUUGGGUUCGGAAUAACAGUUAGAAAUGACUGCUAAUACCGGAUGAUGUCGUAAGACCAAAGAUUUAUCGCCCAAGGAUGAGCCCGCGUAGGAUUAGCUAGUUGGUGGGGUAAAGGCCCACCAAGGCGACGAUCCUUAGCUGGUCUGAGAGGAUGAUCAGCCACACUGGGACUGAGACACGGCCCAGACUCCUACGGGAGGCAGCAGUGGGGAAUAUUGGACAAUGGGCGAAAGCCUGAUCCAGCAAUGCCGCGUGAGUGAUGAAGGCCUUAGGGUUGUAAAGCUCUUUUACCCGGAUGAUAAUGACAGUACCGGGAGAAUAAGCUCCGGCUAACUUCGUGCCAGCAGCCGCAGUAAUACCUGAGACCGUC
This 481-nucleotide ribosomal RNA is filed under the name uncultured microorganism. Its description in RNAcentral is "bacterial SSU rRNA". It matches the Rfam family "Bacterial small subunit ribosomal RNA", at positions 9 to 536 of the family's 1533-position model. The record is from RNAcentral.